GAUGAACGCUGGCGGCGUGCCUAAUACAUGCAAGUCGAGCGAACGGACGAGAAGCUUGCUUCUCUGAUGUUAGCGGCGGACGGGCGAGUAACACGUGGAUAACCUACCUAUAAGGCUGGGAUAACUUCGGGAAACCGGAGCUAAUACCGGAUAAUAUUUUGAACCGCAUGGUUCAAAAGUGAAAGACGGUCUUGCUGUCACUUAUAGAUGGAUCCGCGCUGCAUUAGCUAGUUGGUAAGGUAACGGCUUACCAAGGCAACGAUGCAUAGCCGACCUGAGAGGGUGAUCGGCCACACUGGAACUGAGACACGGUCCAGACUCCUACGGGAGGCAGCAGUAGGGAAUCUUCCGCAAUGGGCGAAAGCCUGACGGAGCAACGCCGCGUGAGUGAUGAAGGUCUUCGGAUCGUAAAACUCUGUUAUUAGGGAAGAACAUAUGUGUAAGUAACUGUGCACAUCUUGACGGUACCUAAUCAGAAAGCCACGGCUAACUACGUG
Molecule: ribosomal RNA, 497 nt
Filed under: uncultured bacterium
Lineage: Bacteria
Description: partial 16S ribosomal RNA
Rfam family: Bacterial small subunit ribosomal RNA
Source: RNAcentral